AGAGGAACGGGCGCAGAGAUUGGGUUGGUGCAUGCAGACUACCCCGCAAGUGGAUGGGAUUCUAGUGCUUGACCUGCCACCACAACAGUAAUGCUGGGUGCCACUGCAAGCUUCGUGGAGCAAACGCCCAGGUGGGUCCUGGUACGUCACGGACAGCCUGGAACCCUGCACUGCAUCCUGCGGGAUUCCCAGUACCCCUGGAUGAGCUGGUACCAACAGGAUCGCCAGGGGCAACUGCAGGUGCUGGCCACUCUGCGGGGUACCGGAGAUGAGGAGGUCACAUCCCUCCCGGGAGCAGAUUACCGGGUCAAGAGGGUCAACAGUUCCCAGCUGAGGCUGCCUGUGGCCAACGUGACCCAGGGCAGAAUGCUGUAUUGUGCCUGCAGCAAAGACACAGUGAGAAAGUCACCAUGACCAAUGAAUAAAAACCAUCCUGUUACCAGCUACAGACCCGCCCUCCACCUCCUCUGCCCUGACAGCCCUCCCAAGCCAGCCCCCUCCCGCCCCAGGUCCUCCCGCCCGGCCACUUCUCUACAAGUGUGGCCCUUCCUAAACACUGAGCAGCACAGUCAUUUAACCUCAGGCUCCAGAGGGCUGGGUGCGGACCUUGUUUCUGCCUCUUGUGAGCUUUGGGGAAGAUUUAAUCUCCCUGAAACUUUAAGUUUUUGUGGCUGUGAAGCACAAACAGUAACUCUACCCAGCUCAGGCUUGCUGCCAGGAUUGAACAACAGUAUUCAGGUGAAGCCUCCAGUACACUACAGAGGCACAGAGGCUGCACUUAAUGAGCAUCAGCUGUUUACUCGGCAGUCUGCAUGCAUAACACAGCAUACUGCACUUCAAUGCCUGUGUCAAUACCCGGAGGGGUGCUGGAAAGCAACCUGGAGAAAUUCUGGGGGCCCAAAAAGUGGUAGAAUGAAUACCUCAAUGUGUGGCUGCCUACUCACACCCCCGUCCCCCGGAAUACACAAACACCCACAUUUCCAAGUAGACCUCCAUUCUCGAUACCCACCAUCCCCUAAGCUGCUCAACCCAGUCUCAAGUUGUCUUUUUAAAAGGAAGAUGCUCAGAGAGGGCCUGUCCUAGAAAGGACCAGGGUCUGCAAUCCAUAGAGGAGGGCUUUACCAAAUAUUGACCUAAAAAGCCUUGGCCCAGAGCUGGGUCUGCACCUGGGUAAGGCCACGAGGAGUGAGCGCCGAACCAGGAGUCUCCAACCCCCAACGGCAGAACCAGCCGGGACGUGCGCGGUGGGAGCGGCCCCUGAGACCCCCGCAGAGAUGGGGAACCAAGACUGUAGCUGAGCCACCUGGCUUCUGAGAGCUUCUCGAUCCCCGGGGGUGUAGGCCACGAGCAGAUACCCGGGGUGCAAGGUGGGAGUGAGUGGACGAGAAGGAAUUUCAAGGGCAUCUGCGUCUGGUCUCCCGAUGUGGAUGUGGGAGGCUGUGGGCAGCGGGGCUGGCUGGCGCUUUCCUCAGCGCCUGCAGAGAGGGUGGAGCUCCUCUCCGUCAGGGGGCGCCAUCUGUCCACAGUUGAUCUGCGCAGUCAGAGGAACUGGCAUUACAGACGUUGGGCUUCCCUCAGCACCCCCCCCGCCACCCCAAACCCCCCAGUCAGCCGUUGUGGCGAACAUCUGCGCAGCUGUAGAGGACAAGAACGGUAAUGGAAGGAAGUCUAGAGCUUGCCCUAGGGCCCUGGGGACACCUGGAUUUCUGCGUUCUGCAUGCCUCCUGCUGGCACCUCUGAGAUCGCAGUCGCUGGAGGUCCUUGGCCAGAGGCCCCGCAAAGACUGCUAAAUACAGAGGAAAUGGCAAGACUGAGAGGCCCUGGGCCACCUGCUCUUAAAGGAAAGCCACGGCCUUCUGCUGGCAGCUCCAUUGCUGGGCUGGGUUCCCUUCAUCCCCAGUCCCUGAGAGCCUGGAGGCUUGCCGGCAGCAGUUCCCUUCUCUCCACCCUGAGCUGUGCCUCAAUACCCCUGCGGGGCCCUGUGGGGAUCAGCUGGCCCUCCUAGACUGGCAGGUGGCAGCGGGUCAAACAGUGCUUUUUGGUUGAAUGGGUUUCAUUACGGUGUUAUUUAGAUAAGGCAUCCUAUAUGAUGUGAGUCUCUUGCCUUCAGGCUGAUAGGAAUGAUCUGUCUAUGUCUCAGGCACUCUGAUUGAAAGCUAGGGCUCUUAACACCUCGUUAUGCAGUCUCUCUGCAUACUGAAUACACUACUGGUGGGACGAGGCAGGUGUUACCUGGCAAGCAUCUUUGCCCCCUUCCAGAAAGCCAAGAGACUAUUAACUACGGAGGAGAUGGCAGGGCAGGGAGGUCUUCACCACCUGGUGAUACCAUCAGGAGAGGCCUGCGUGGUCACAGAGCACAGGGAAA
Molecule: non-coding RNA, 2365 nt
Organism: Manis javanica (Malayan pangolin)
Lineage: Eukaryota; Metazoa; Chordata; Mammalia; Pholidota; Manidae
Source: the annotation of a RefSeq genome assembly